GAUGAACGCUGGCGGCGUGCCUAAUACAUGCAAGUCGAGCGAACGGACGAGACUUUUGCUUGUCUCUUGUUAGCUGUGCAUGGGUGAGUCACACGUGGAUAACCUACCUAUAUGACGGGGAUAAUUUCGAGACACCGGUGCUAACACCGUAUAAUCUUUUGAUCCGCAUGGUUCAAAAGUGAAAGUCGCUGUUGCUGCCACCCAUAGCCGGCUCCGCGCUGCAUUAGCUGGUUGUUGAGGUAACGCCUUAUCAAGGCAACGAUGCAUAGCCGACCUGAGAGGGUGAUCGGCCACACUGGAACUGAGACGCGGUCCAGGCUCCUACGGGAGGCAGCAGUGGGGAAUGUUCCGCAAUGGGCGAAAACCUGACGGAACAACGCGGCGUAAGUGAUGAAGGUCUUCGGGUCGUAAAUCUCUGUUAUUAGGGGAGAACAUAUUUGUAAGUAACUGUGCACAUCGUGACGGUACCUAGUCAGGAAGCCACGGCUAACUACGUG
This 497-nucleotide ribosomal RNA is filed under the name uncultured bacterium. RNAcentral describes it as "partial 16S ribosomal RNA". It matches the Rfam family "Bacterial small subunit ribosomal RNA", at positions 28 to 507 of the family's 1533-position model. The record is from RNAcentral.